GGAGACCCCAGCCCACGGAGAAAGCCCAUAGAGACACACUGGUUCAGCUCAGUUUUGGCAUCUCCCCAGCCAGAUAGCCUGGCACGCAGUUGUCAGAGGGUCUCGGGUCCUGGCGCCUAGCCAGUGGCAUUCAAAGCUGGGGCUUCGAACGCUGAUGCUGAGUCAGAGCCCAGCCAUCCCCACUCCCGACCUUCGAAAUUCCUGAGGCACGGAACUCAUGAGGUCAACAAAGCAGCCAUUGUAUCGGACGCUAAGUAUGGAAGGAGUUUGCUGGCCGUAACGGGGGCACCGGGGGUAGAGCCUGCCGGUUUGAUUCCUUUCUUUUAAUCUUCAUAUAUGCGGUGAAGCGACUUGCCGCCAUAGGCAGGCCAGGCAGCAUGUUCUGUGGUCACCUUUCUUUAUCUGCCUGUGGUAAGAUGGCCUACAACCACUCCCUCCGAUCUCCUUGUAUGCAGUGCCCUCCCUGGGACUCUGCUGAGUCAACUCAUCCUACCUGGCUGUAACUUUGUAUCCUUUGAAGGACAUCUCCUCCAGCCCCGUGCCAUAAAAGUUCAACAGUGGGUAAAACCCCACCUGCAGGGUCUGUGAAUGUCACAGAAGGGUCCCUAAAGAUCUUUCGCAGAGUCUUCUUCCUCCUGGUUCUGCUUUUCAAACCUGCAUGCUGACCCCACGACUUGUUUAUACCAACAACUCAUCUCUGUUUUGGAAGAGACCUUACUUAUCUCUUCCCCACCUAUUUGUCACACUGAGAUGGAGGCCCAGAACCUACUCCCUACUAGAGCAGGAGACUGAGAGCUCUGUCCCUUCCUCCUUGCACUGGGGGCUUGGAGCCUGGAAAGAAGGAGAAGCCUUGAUGUCCUCAGAGCUCGGGAUCCAGGGCUCCUCUUGACCCCUGGUACUCUUCAGUGGUCCUCUUCUGACUGGUCAAACCCUCUCAGACACAGCACUUCAGGCCACUCGGAGAAGAAACCAGCUUUCUGAGAACUGCACAGAUACUAAACAGACGGGAGCCAGUUGAACCUAGAAAGAAGAGUGGCCUCUGACCCAGUGAAAACAAGUCUUACAGAAACACCUUCUCACCUGCGGCUAUGUAAGGCUUGGCCAAACAUCCGGAGUUGGAGUCCAGCAAGGGACACAUGCUGCACCUUACCUGGAACCCCCACGACCUUCUUAGUGUGUGCCUUGCUGAGGAUACAAGGAUUUGGGAGCCAGAGCAGGACCGCAGAAUGCAUUGCCGAGUGACGAGUGAUGGUUACCCAGCAGCGCCAGCAGCCUGUUAAAUCACAGAUCGGAUAGUAUUAAAUUCACUGUACUUUUCUUGUCUCUAGGUAGCCAAAAAAGAAAACAUGAAGAAAAACAAAACAGGCCCGAGGGUAAAGCACAGCGUUAGGUGUGGCAUCUGUGUCUCGGGGCAUCAAAGGCUAUAACUGGGAGGGUAAGGAUGAAGCUCUGCAGCCCAGAUAGGGCGAGCUUUCUAAAAUGGAUUAUCAGGAUCAGAUGGUGGCGUCCGCAGAACCAGAAGUCCUGCAGGGGAAAACCGCUCACCACCAGGCUCCUGUGAACAAGAAAGGCGUGGGGUGCUGGAGAAAACCCAGCUGAAGGCUGCGGGAGGAAGAAGUUAGCUACAAAACGAAAGUAGGCGAGAAAGAUCAGGGUCUAAGAUUUUCCUGGCCAAGCGCAAACAAAGGCCUACACUGGUUCCCCCGCUGAUUUGUUUCUUGCCAGCAUUUCCCAAGCACAACGCAGAGCUCUUCAUCCAGGUGGUCUCUCAAGGCUGUGCCUCCCUUGACCUGGGCCUUCUGGCCUCUGGCCCAAGGGAAAUAUAGGUUUGAUGCUGGGCCAUUGUUUCUUUUCUCUGUGUUAAGAGAGAAGAAAGACAUGGUGUGAGUCCCCGCCAAGGAUAGUGAAGGACAAUGAUGCCUUUGAAAAGCUUGUUUCUCUGGAAGGACAGUGGGGUAGGGAGAACACAGGAGGCAGCUGGAGAGGAGCAUUUGGUCACUGUGCCUCCUUUGACAGAGAUCCCUGAGCCUACAACGGAGCAGCAGGGCAAGGAAUCUUCACCAAGUGACUUGUCACCAUGAGUAACGGUGGCUUUUCUGCCGGGCGGAAGCCAGUGAGUAGCCAGUGUGGUAAAGCAGUGGCUAUCAGCGCCUGCUGGUUAGCCGCCUUUGGAUUUGGCAAGGAUUUCUUGGAUCUGACACCCAGUACACGAACAACAAAAGCAAAAACAGACAAAUUUAAAAUCCGCGAACCUGUCAAUAACCAAAAGACAGCCUGUGGAAAGAGAGAAAUACUGCUAACUACACUCAUGAUAAAGGGCUAAUAUAUCCGAGUGUAUUCAAAACUCCCACUGUGAGGGGCUGACGGGGGAUCAGCUCCACAGUGCCACCUGCAGCAGCAGCCUAGGGAACGUGGCUCAGGGACCACAGACAGCCCCUGUAUGACCCACGCACAAGAGGCAUCCAAAGGGAAGUCACAGACCCAGGCUACAGGACAUAAGAAGCUCUUUCUCGGUGGUGUGGAGUUUCAGGCUGCAGGAGAAGGAGUACCAGAGCCUGUGGCAAGGCAGUGUCCUGUGGCUGACAACACAUGGCCCACAUAGAAAUAAACUUUAUGUUGUAUUUUAAGACCUGGUUUUGCAAGUUAUUUAUUGGGGGCUGGAGAAAUGGCUGCUCUUCCA
This is a long non-coding RNA of Rattus norvegicus (Norway rat), 2680 nucleotides long. RefSeq lists it as uncharacterized. NCBI's taxonomy places the organism in Eukaryota, Metazoa, Chordata, Mammalia, Rodentia, Muridae. The record is from RefSeq and is a predicted model, not a curated record.